Long non-coding RNA from Cryptotermes secundus, 4148 nucleotides. RefSeq lists it as uncharacterized. The record is from RefSeq and is a predicted model, not a curated record. NCBI's taxonomy places the organism in Eukaryota, Metazoa, Arthropoda, Insecta, Blattodea, Kalotermitidae. The transcript has 5 exons.
UUUUCUUUAUGGUAUUUAUAUUAUCACCCAGUAGAUUCACAUCAUCGGCAUACACCAAUAGCUGAUGUGUCCCAUUUAACUAAGUCCCACCUGGAAUAUUGCUUACUAGGAUGAUAAAAUCAUCAAUGGGAAAUGUAGCAUGCAUGGGACAGAUAUGAAAUUUAUACACAGUUUCCAUUAGGAAACCUGGGGGUGAACAGACCACUUGGAAGAUGUAACUGUAGAUAAGAAUAUAAUAUUAACAUAUUCAUAGAUCUUAAAGAGAUAGGAUGGAAGGGUGUGGGCUGCAUUUGUCUGGCUGAGGACAAGGACCAGUGGUAGGUCCUUGUGAGCGUGGUAAUGUACCUUUAUGUUCUGUAAAAUGCUGAGGAUUUCUUGAGUAGCCAAGCCAAUUUUAGCUCCUCAAGAAAGACUCAGCUCUGUGGAGUUAGGUAGCUAGUCAAACAAACAUGUAUUGCAUGUUAAGUAAGGUCCUUGUCACAGCACAAUAGAUGUUCAGGUUAUAGACAGAAACAGUCUCCAGAUGCAGGAGGUACUUGCAAAUGCAUACAAAUUAAUUAUCAUGCUGGGGAGGAGACCAUAAACUCCUCGCAGGGACAAAUUUUUUUGUAUAAUCAAAGCAAUUGACUCUCAACUUCUUGUUCAAUUUGCAUUCCAGUGAUUUUCUUUUUUCAUUUUUAAAAUUAUCCCACCAGUAUGCUUCAAGCUUCUCUCUUUCCAAGACCAUUAUACUCAUUAUUAUGAGCAUAAAAAGACUGCAAAAAUUUUGGAAUGUUUUAUUGUACUUAUAUACAUCUUAGGACCAACAAUGAAGCAUUAAUGAAAAAUGUGUGAUUACAAUUCAGGAAAGAUUUGUAUAACUGAAUUUGGGCUUACUGUAUUCAUUAUUAUUGCCAUCCCAUGACUUCUUCAUUCAUGCAUCAAGUGAAACACAUCCCACUAAGAAAGAUUGAUGUAAGCGACAGGAAAAUUGCAAUUGGCCCACUUGUCUUUCAAAGUAAUUUCAAUUUUAUAUGUUGGCACCACUGCUCGGAAAUCUCGUGGAGUUCGUGAUCGUUCGUGAUAUUCGUGAUGUUCCUAAUGAUUGCGCCAUGCCCGCCAUGACAGCCAUGACAGUGUCACAUGGAGGCAGUUUUGCUGAAAGAAUUUGAAUGUUAACGUUUUGAAGUGCUAAGCAGGUAAGUGUUGUUGAAAAUCAGUAUUAAAAGAAGUAAGACGUAUGAUAUAAAUCUGUAACAGUAAUAACAACUUUACUCGUCAAAUGAAAGUGAGUUACUUAAACCAUGUAAAUAUAUAGUUUUGUGUGUGCUGGGAUUAUGCAUAGAAAUAUUAAAUUUAUUACUCACGGGUUAUAGUGAUUAGGCUGCGGACUGGAAAAUCGCGAAUUCCGAGUUCUGUACCCUGCAAGGGCAAGAGAUUUUUCUUUUUCACUGUUCAAACCGGUUCUGCACACCACAGAGCCUCUUGUUAAGUGUGUAUAGGAACCCCUUCACCGGAAGUAAAGUUGCCGGUUCGUGAGUUAAGCCCCUCACCCCAACCUAGUGCUAAGGUUAAGAAUGCGUGAAGCAGCACCUCUGCGUCUUUAUGACAUUGUAUGUAAAUAAACACAAGAACUUUUUGUAUACCCCCUGUUGAUGGUCUUGUAAGACUAAAAUGUGUCAAUGUCUGUCUAACACAGUCUGCUGACGAAAUAAACGAGAUAUACUUGGAUGGUAACUUGGAUUUGAUUUUACAGGAACUCGCGUUUUGCUACCGUGUAAUUAACUUAGCAUAACACAGAAAAUGUGACAAGCUUUGCAACAAAAAGUUCUGCCACUUGUUAAUAUUUAUUUUUGAAGUUUAAGAGGCAGUGUAAGUCAAAAUAAUGGCUAAGAAUUCCGUACCUUUGUAUUUCAAUGUAAGAUUUGUAUAGUUUAGGAUUUGAGUGUUGUAUGAGAAACUUUCUGUUUGUACAUUAUGAACCAUCUGAACAUGCUGGAAUAUAAUAGCCAUUUUCUGCAUAAAGUAUCCCAGGCUGUUAUUUUGAGAAGGUAUUUUUUAUGAACUGUGAAAUAUUUUAUGAUGGUGAAAUAUUUCAGAAGGAAUGCAAAUUGUUAAUCUUACAGUGUAAUCAAAAGGUGUAUAUUAUACAAGAAUUAAAUUGUAUAUUUGUAACAAGCUCCCAGUAAGAACUAGAAGUCUGUCCAGACACCAGACAUUUCAUUUAGCAGUACCUUUUUUGCAUACCUUUCAUCAGACACCAAAUACUCUGUGGGAACUGCCCACAUUCAAGCAAGUGUGACAACGCAAGCCUCAUUGCAAAAGCCAAGUUCGACGCCAUGUUGCGGGAUGGUACAGCUCGUCGAUCAGAGAGGUCAUGGUCCUCAGCACUACACAUUGUGCCCAAGAAAGACAGCGGUUGGCGUCCCAGCGGCGACUACAGAGCGCUUAACUCCCACAUCUCUGUUAAUGAAUUUGUAAUGUGUAGCAAAGGUAUACACACCGUCCCCGAACUAUUGAUGAACUGAAGGCUGCCAUCACCGAAGAAAUCAACGCUGUUCCACGGAAUAUGACUCGUAGAGUCAUGAAAAACUUCCAAAACAGGCUCCAUCAGUGUAUGGAAGACAGAGGUGGCCAUUUGGAAGAUAUUAUUUUUAAAUCCCAUUAAACUAAAACUGCAUUCUAUGUACUUUCAAAUAAUAAAAUAAUUUUGCCUGCAUCUUUCUUUAUUUCUAUUCCAUGCAUUUUUGAAAUCGGAAAGGUCUAUGUGUCCCACUCUGUAGUAUAGACUCAGCCAUUUUUAUAAUUAAGGAUAUCCUUAUUGCAUUGAAUGGUACCUUAAAUGAAAUGCUGCUUGCUCUUGCAGCUAAGUUAAAUGAUAGCUUAUCAUUCAAGGUACUUAGAUUCCCUACUCAUCACACCAGCCCCUUUCUCAUCCCAGCAAACAAAAGAGAAAAUGGUUACAUGGUGGCAGCAACAGGAUAAAAAGUGAUUGAGACUUCUCUGGAAAGGCCGGAGGGACUUCAUUUUGAGGAUUCUGAGGUGCAAAAGUACCUGGAAGGGAGUAGUUGCUAAGUCCAUGGAAGGAAGCUAUCAGCAGCCUGUGUUACAUCCCAAGGGACAGCACAGGUGAUCAGCCAGUAGCAGCAGCCAAUGAAACCUCCAGGGCACCUCUACUCUGAACUUCGGUGUUGCAACAAUCCUUCGCUUUCUGCUUCAGAAAACAGUUGAGGAAUGUUCCAAAAUACAAUAACCUUCUCUGCUGAGGGCUACGUAAAUGAACGAAGAACCUUAAAUAAAGAGCGUCACACAGUGCACUGGAGGGUGCUGGAUAAGCAGCGAGAGCCUAAAGGUCAUUGUUUUACGCUACUCAUAGUUUGAGACUGCAGGAGUCAUCAAGGAAAAUGGUUGUAAUGACCACACAGGACUCACUGAAGGAGCUGUUGACAUACCAGUGACCCUUAAGCUAGACCCAAAAGGAUAAUCCAUGUAGUGAUCAAGCUGAAAAGUGGAAAAGGACAGUUGGACCAAAGCAGAACAAAAUUGAUUUGUGACUGGCUUAAUAAGGAUGAGGAGGACUUUGAAUACCGAAAUCCCGCUGAAGAGGAUCAGGAAGAUGAGAAGAUAGAAGAAACAUGAUCAAACCUGAAAUUUUCAGGAGUGAAACAAAACUUCGACUCUAUAAUCAGUUGUGUGGACUGUAACCCACAGUACAACAGGAGAACCAGGGGAAGUGCCUCAGCCCACUGUUAGUCCACGUGGCACAUGAUGGCUGCCUUCAAUGUCCGGUGGAAGUGUUCCACAAGUCCGUUAGCUGCUGAGUGGUGGGCGGUUGUACGUGAGAGCUGGAUGCCGCACAGCCCCUGGAUACUGCUGCUUGCGAGCUGUCUGCGGCGUCCAGCUGAGUCGGGGUCACCAAUGUGAUAUUCUCUUAGGAGUGAGUGUUGUCUGAAAGACCGGCAGAACUGCGUGCUAUGUGGGAUGUUGCCACAGAAGUUUUACUGUAUUAAGGAAGUAAGGAAGGGGUUGGAUAAUAUCUUAUUUUAGUCCAAACAAUGUUGAAGUGUUUUAUACCAAUUAAAUGGUGUAAUUAUUUUGUGUUUGUAAUGAAAUAAAUGAUCACACACUUGUUUUCUAUUCUCUGCUUUAAUCUCCACAUUACAGUACCU